GACGAACGCUGGCGGCGUGCCUAAUACAUGCCAGUUGAGCGAUGAAGAUUGGUGCUUGCACCAAUUUGAAGAGCAGCGAACGGGUGAGUAACGCGUGGGGAAUCUGCCUUUGAGCGGGGGACAACAUUUGGAAACGAAUGCUAAUACCGCAUAACAACUUUAAACAUAAGUUUUAAGUUUGAAAGAUGCAAUUGCAUCACUCAAAGAUGAUCCCGCGUUGUAUUAGCUAGUUGGUGAGGUAAAGGCUCACCAAGGCGAUGAUACAUAGCCGACCUGAGAGGGGGAUCGGCCACAUCGGGACUGAGACACGGCCCAAACUCCUAAGGGAGGCAGCAGUAGGGAAUCUUCGGCAAUGGACGAAAGUCUGACCGAGCCACGCCGCGGGAGUGAAGAAGGUUUUCGGAUCGGAAAAAUCUGUUGGUAGAGAAGAACGUUGGUGAGAGUGGAAAGCUCAUCAAGUGACGGUAACUACUCAGAAAGGGACGGCUAACUACGUG
This 497-nucleotide ribosomal RNA is filed under the name uncultured bacterium. Its description in RNAcentral is "partial 16S ribosomal RNA". It matches the Rfam family "Bacterial small subunit ribosomal RNA", at positions 28 to 507 of the family's 1533-position model. The record is from RNAcentral.